GAUGAACCCUAUAUGGUUCCUCCAAGGAAACAAAUAAUGCAUUGCCACAAAAUCACUCGAAGAAUAGUGUUACAAAUAUGUGCAUUUAAAAGAGUAUUCAAAAUAAUAUCAAAAGGAAAAUUUUUCUGUUUACACUAUUACAAUCAGAACCUAGCACAAAAAUUUUCCCUGAAGGAGCACCAGGAGAUCUCGAGUUCAAAUAUGACAACAGAAACGCACCAGCAACAAAGUUGAAGUGAAGUGCCCGCAUAAUUAGGCCAAAUACACGAAAAUCUGAUUCACCACCAAUAUACUAAUCAGACUUGAGCCAUCUGGCGUUUCAAUGCCUGCAAUGACUUGAUUUUUGACUCGCAAAUACGAAGAAAUUCAGACAAUACUGUAGAACUACCAGUCACUAUCUUCCUUGCAACAUCCACAUGGCUCCACGACUUUACUGCUUGGGAGAUCCGGCUACCAAGUUCAACCUCAUCUAUGGAUGACAUAAAGCUUUCCAGAAUUCGGAAAACCAGCCCAGGCCCUUCACCCUGUCCCUUUUUCCUAAGAGAGGACAGUAUAAUUUCCACAACCUCAUCCUCUGGUCUUUUAAUCUGGUCUCUUAUCCACUUUGCAACUUCUUCAACUAUAGAACAAGAAGAAUCGAUUGAAUCUCGGAUUGUACUAGAUAGUUGAGAGGUGGAGUGCUCUGCAGGUCCACCUUUCUUCUUCUUCUUUCCGGAUGGAAGAGAUGAUCGUACACAGGAUUGGAGUACAAGACCAUGCCAAGCUAAUGGCUCCGUAACCAAUUGCACUAAAGUCGGAAGAUCACCCCCUGGGAAGCAAAUAAGAGACUCCAUGGAUCUGGCUUUCUCUGAAAUAUGCUUAUCCAACAAAGUAUCCACAUUGUGCCAUGUAUGCCCACACUGAUCUCCACCCGGCUGUGAGAGCUCAUGGGAAUUCAAGUUCCACGCAUUCAAAAAAACAGCAAAGUUAAGCCAGUCAACUGUGUCUGAUCCAAAAGCCUCAGAUGACUUAAGGCCAGUAGAAACUCCCAUAACCACUUCUAUUGCAUCAGUUAAAGACGAUCCCAACAUCUUUGCAUAACGCUCAAGCAAAAACUUCAACUCUGAUGAGAUUUUGGGCUCAGACAUAGAGCCAUUGACUUCAGCAUUCUCCUUAAGUGAUACUGAAGCACUUUGAAUAGACAAAUAGAUCAUCCGAGGGAGAAGAGAUUUCCUUUCAAUAACCCUCCGUACAUUUUCUUCCCUUUCUUUUGUCUAUAUUAUGAUUAAUGCAUCAAAGGAAAAAGUAAUGUAAAGGACAUUAAAAAAGCGAAGAAAGCCUAUUGAAGAAAAGUUCCUUACCAAGUUUUCUUUAGGACAAUAUGAGAUUCCUUCAAAUGGACCUAAAAGAUAAUUUUUCCCUGGAACUGGUGUCCACCAAGGCCGUGACUGAAAAUCUUCAUUGAAGGUCAAAGUUUUGGAUGUGAUCUCAUUAGAAAGCUCAACAAAAUGAAUUCCACAAUUCAAGCUUUCAAGAACACCCUCUUCUUCUUCAAUGCUAUCAGCUCUCUGCUUUAGCUGUAGAAUUGGUGAUUCAACCCUCGCGACUAAAUACUGAUUAGACCGUUGCAAUUGUUCUUUAAACUGAACAAACUCAAUUACCUUUGAGUAAUUUCUAUGGCGAUAGGCAAGAAAUGUAAGGUCUGCAGAUUCCCUGAAGUGGUCAUCCAUAAAUCUGAGAUAAUCUUUCAGUAGAUUGCUCAAAUCAACCCAAAGAGGUGAUAGCAACAUAUGGGGCAAAAUAUGGUGUGAAACGGUUUCCAUCAAUAUAUUCUUCACGUCUAGAGAUUUAUACCAUUCAUAAGCUAAUGAAAGGGCACCCAAGUGUGAAUACAAGUGCAGCAAUAAGAUCUUGUACUGCCAUACAUAUCGUCGGAUAGUCAACCCAAACUCCAAAACCAUAAUCGCCUCCAGGAAGUAGCCCAGAUGUCUUGUCCUCCAGUACAACUGAACCAGCACACUGCACGUCAUAGAUAGCAGCUCUUCUCCAUGCAUACUUUCUUGUGGAUCCAGUCCCUUUGAUAGUGGAAGACUUUUCCAAUACAUCUCCACCAUUUGUCCAGCUAAGGCCUCGUGUUCAACAACAGGGACCUUGUCUAUGUUUCCAAUCAACUGCUGAAUUUUGAAUGCAGUUAUUGACAGCCCAAGAACUUUAGUUGGAAUUGUUGGAAGGGAGUUGGUGCCUUUCAUUACUUUCUCUAGAAACUCCAUCUUGUUAUCAGGAGUUAGGACUUGAAGAAACAUUUCAACAUCAGAAGUGAAGCAGGCCAAGUGACCAAACUUGAAAAAAUAUUGCAUUAGAGCUUUCAUUAUAUCAUCAUAGUUGCUCUUUCCAUAUAAGUGUCGCCGCCUUUCAAUUUCAAGAAUUGCCAAAUAUGGACCUCUUAGAAAACAAUUAUUGGCAUCCACCUGGAACUUUAGCAAAAAAGCUGAUGCAUUUGAUAAACGAGAAUUCAACACUUCAUCUGUCAAGUGAGAGACUGUGCAUUCCACAAAUUUAGGGGGGUGAACUGGAUCACCAUUCACUCCAUUACUCCAGCUGCUGUCAUCCUCCAGCAAGCAGCCUAGAUAAUGUAGGAAACACUCCCAAUCAUCAGGGCAUAAUUCUAAAAUCUUCUGAUAUGUGUUGGCUCCUGCAGCAAAGUCACCUGACUGAGCAAGCAGCCUCCCCUGUAUGCGUAACUUAUCAACUUCAAUCAUUAGAAGUGAUCCUAAUUUCCCAGAUAGAAUUUCCAAUGCAUCACCAUACUUUGCUUGCUGUUCCAGUAUGGAUAUAUAUACAAUAAGAGCUUCAGGUUCAUGCAAACUAUGGGAAGCAACAUGCUUCUUAAGUAAGCCUUCGGCUAAGAGUAAAAGUUUCUCUCCUCCAUUGCCACAAAACACCUGUAGCUGGAUACUACAAACAGCCCAGAGCAAAAACCUUUCUUCACCAACAAGCUUGUACAUUUUGAUGGCUGUCUGUUGCUGCUUGACGAAUGAAUAUUCUCGAACAUAACAGUUGAAAAGCCCCAUCAUUAAUUCCAAAUUAUUUGGAAAUUUACUACAAGCAUACUCAUAACAGCUAGUACCCAAUUCCAAGUGAUCAAGCCGUUGGAAAACAAUCUGCAAAGUACUGAGAGUGAGAUCAUCCAUUAACAUAGACUCAUUCUUAUAUAAAAGUUCCUUGGCAUUUAAGCAAAUGGCUAAUGCUUCAUCAGAUUUACCCAUCCUUUCCAAGAUUAAAGCUUUCAAUGCAAGAGCGUAAGGUGAAUUAGGGUAUUUAGAAAGCAAAGCAGCGGACAGUUUCAGAGCGUUCUUGAACUGCCGAGAAUCUACGGCGUCCCAUAUCUGUCGGACCCGCCGCUCCGGUAUACCGCCAGCUAAGCCGAACUUGGACGCCAUUAGGGUUCGAUCUCUCUCUCUGGGUUUUUUUGUUGGGUAGUUUGAAGUGGCGAAGUUGGGGAAAGGAGCAAGGCAAGUAACGGUUUAAGUCAUCUAUCUGCGUGCGAGUCCAAGUGGCGGAACUGAGAUCGUUGGGAAACCUAAUCGGAGCGUUUGGAUGCGAGCGUAAUAGAAAACGCCGUUUCGAAGAAAAUGGCCCUCCGAUUUUCAAACCCG
RNAcentral lists this unclassified non-coding RNA (3635 nucleotides) under Hevea brasiliensis (rubber tree). The record is from RNAcentral. Lineage: Eukaryota; Viridiplantae; Streptophyta; Magnoliopsida; Malpighiales; Euphorbiaceae.